This 460-nucleotide ribosomal RNA is filed under the name uncultured bacterium. RNAcentral's name for it is "partial 16S ribosomal RNA". It matches the Rfam family "Bacterial small subunit ribosomal RNA", at positions 338 to 795 of the family's 1533-position model. The record is from RNAcentral.
CCUACGGGGGGCAGCAGUGAGGAAUAUUGGUCAAUGGACGAGAGUCUGAACCAGCCAAGUAGCGUGAAGGAUGACUGCCCUAUGGGUUGUAAACUUCUUUUAUAUGGGAAUAAAAUGUUCCACGUGUGGGAUUUUGUAUGUACCAUAUGAAUAAGGAUCGGCUAACUCCGUGCCAGCAGCCGCGGUAAUACGGAGGAUCCGAGCGUUAUCCGGAUUUAUUGGGUUUAAAGGGAGCGUAGGUGGAUUGUUAAGUCAGUUGUGAAAGUUUGCGGCUCAACCGUAAAAUUGCAGUUGAAACUGGCAGUCUUGAGUACAGUGGAGGUGGGCGGAAUUCGUGGUGUAGCGGUGAAAUGCUUAGAUAUCACGAAGAACUCCGAUUGCGAAGGCAGUUCACUGGACUGCAACUGACACUGAGGCUCGAAAGUGUGGGUAUCAAACAGGAUUAGAUACCCGUGUAGUC